GGGAUAUUAGCAUAAUGGUAAUGUAUGUGACUUUUAAUCGACAACAUAUGAGUUCGAAUCUCGUAUAUCCUA
Molecule: non-coding RNA, 72 nt
Organism: Daldinia eschscholtzii
Lineage: Eukaryota; Fungi; Ascomycota; Sordariomycetes; Xylariales; Hypoxylaceae
Source: the annotation of a GenBank genome assembly